This 385-nucleotide ribosomal RNA is filed under the name uncultured bacterium. Its description in RNAcentral is "bacterial SSU rRNA". It matches the Rfam family "Bacterial small subunit ribosomal RNA", at positions 28 to 417 of the family's 1533-position model. The record is from RNAcentral.
GACGAACGCUGGCGGCGUGCUUAACACAUGCAAGUCGAGCGGUAAGGCUCCUUCGGGAGUACACGAGCGGCGAACGGGUGAGUAACACGUGAGCAAUCUGCCCUUCUCUUCGGAAUAAGCGUUGGAAACGACGUCUAAUGCCGAAUACGACCUCCUUUCGCAUGAUCGGAGGUGGAAAGCUCCGGCGGAGAAGGAUGAGCUCGCGGCCUAUCAGCUAGUUGGGAGGUAACGGCCCACCAAGGCGACGACGGGUAGCCGGCCUGAGAGGGUGACGGCCACACUGGGACUGAGACACGGCCCAGACUCCUACGGGAGGCAGCAGUGGGGAAUAUUGGACAAUGGGCGAAAGCCUGAUCCAGCAACGCCGCGUGAGGGAUGACGGCCU